This 582-nucleotide ribosomal RNA is filed under the name Pseudomonas sp. StFRB134. Its description in RNAcentral is "bacterial SSU rRNA". It matches the Rfam family "Bacterial small subunit ribosomal RNA", at positions 102 to 680 of the family's 1533-position model. Lineage: Bacteria; Pseudomonadati; Pseudomonadota; Gammaproteobacteria; Pseudomonadales; Pseudomonadaceae. The record is from RNAcentral.
ACGGGUGAGUAAUGCCUAGGAAUCUGCCUGGUAGUGGGGGACAACGUUUCGAAAGGAACGCUAAUACCGCAUACGUCCUACGGGAGAAAGCAGGGGACCUUCGGGCCUUGCGCUAUCAGAUGAGCCUAGGUCGGAUUAGCUAGUUGGUGGGGUAAUGGCUCACCAAGGCGACGAUCCGUAACUGGUCUGAGAGGAUGAUCAGUCACACUGGAACUGAGACACGGUCCAGACUCCUACGGGAGGCAGCAGUGGGGAAUAUUGGACAAUGGGCGAAAGCCUGAUCCAGCCAUGCCGCGUGUGUGAAGAAGGUCUUCGGAUUGUAAAGCACUUUAAGUUGGGAGGAAGGGCAGUAAGUUAAUACCUUGCUGUUUUGACGUUACCGACAGAAUAAGCACCGGCUAACUCUGUGCCAGCAGCCGCGGUAAUACAGAGGGUGCAAGCGUUAAUCGGAAUUACUGGGCGUAAAGCGCGCGUAGGUGGUUCGUUAAGUUGGAUGUGAAAGCCCCGGGCUCAACCUGGGAACUGCAUCCAAAACUGGCGAGCUAGAGUACGGUAGAGGGUGGUGGAAUUUCCUGUGUAGCG